AAAUAUGAUGGCUAGCUACGAUAGCCUAGUUAAUGUGAGGAGAAAAUGUCUCUUUUUCCAUGAAUGUGUCAGGACGUGUCUCAUUGUCAGGAUCCUACAGGAUCUUUAGGAAGGACCCAUUACUAGGACCCAUGUGGUGCCUCGACCGCAGUAGGGGCUCGGCCCAUUGGAGAAUGUCCCAACCACCCUUGGAGGGUGCCUAAUCUUCCUGGGGUGAAGUCUUUCACUUAUCAUGGUAGCCCGAUCCCUUGUGGCUAGGCCACACUCAACCUGGAUAGAAGAGAUGA
This 287-nucleotide long non-coding RNA is filed under the name Oryza brachyantha (malo sina). RNAcentral describes it as "long non-coding RNA (OBRA_LNC002003)". The record is from RNAcentral. Lineage: Eukaryota; Viridiplantae; Streptophyta; Magnoliopsida; Poales; Poaceae.